RNAcentral lists this long non-coding RNA (834 nucleotides) under Nicotiana benthamiana. RNAcentral describes it as "long non-coding RNA (NBEN_LNC028294)". The record is from RNAcentral. Lineage: Eukaryota; Viridiplantae; Streptophyta; Magnoliopsida; Solanales; Solanaceae.
UUUUCUAAUGGGUGUCGUGGCUAUAGCUUAUUGGUUAACAUAUUUAAACUCUCUCAUUCCGAGAUUUUUAAUGCCACUUCAAGGCAAGAUAUUCUGGCAUCGGCUGGCAUCCAUAUCCCAAUUACAUUCAUUUAAUAUCUCUUUAAUGUUAUUGAUAUAACAAAUAUCGAUUCUAAUCUAUCUUUUCUUAUUUUGUAGAGCUCCUUGUCCUUAUGUCCACUCCCAAGGAUCCCCGGUCCUCAGGUCCUGAAAAAGAUAUCGAUCAGAGACGAAAGCAAUAAGCUCAAUUCUUCCAUAACAUAAGGGCGCGGGCUUUCGCGCGAGCCGAAUGACGUAGGUACACGAGAGUACUUCGCGAUCGAGACCUCUGGUUAAAGGCGGAGCAGCCUCAUCCAUGUCCGUGAGGGGUAAAAUUGUCCUUCAUCGUAAUGUCCAAAAUGCACCGCGGGAAAUCCAAAGAUCUGAACCAUGUGCAGCGGCAAAGCUUACACGUGCUAACGAUGAAAAAGGUUAUGAUUCUACACGGGCAAGUCCAUGGUAUCAGAAUGCAGUUACCACUGAGGCAAAGUCACGUGUCGUCUUGUCACUGUAGACUCUUCUUUUGUUUCCUGUUUGGAUUUUGGUACCUAUCGUGGUUCAGAAUAAUUUAGAUUGCGUCCCGUAAAAUCAAUUAAAGGGCCAAGGCUCCUUAUUAAAAUUUUGUCCAUUUCUAGAAUUUGUACCUAAAAUUUCUUAUUAAAUAUGGAAGAAUCUUAUAUAUCUGCACAAUUCUUGAUGGUGAAAAACAGAUUUGACUAAUAGGUCGCAACUAUUAACGGCUUGUUUGGAAAGUUU